Molecule: unclassified non-coding RNA, 332 nt
Filed under: soil metagenome
Description: partial contains 5.8S ribosomal RNA, internal transcribed spacer 2, and large subunit ribosomal RNA
Rfam family: 5.8S ribosomal RNA (bases 1-120)
Source: RNAcentral
GAUGAAGAACGCAGCAAAAUGCGAUAAGUAAUGUGAAUUGCAGAAUUCAGUGAAUCAUCGAAUCUUUGAACGCACAUUGCGCCCGCCAGUAUUCUGGCGGGCAUGCCUGUUCGAGCGUCAUUUCAACCCUCAAGCACAGCUUGGUGUUGGGACUCGCGUUAAUUCGCGUUCCCCAAAUUGAUUGGCGGUCACGUCGAGCUUCCAUAGCGUAGUAGUAAAACCCUCGUUACUGGUAAUCGUCGCGGCCACGCCGUUAAACCCCAACUUCUGAAUGUUGACCUCAGAUCAGGUAGGAAUACCCGCUGAACUUAAGCAUAUCAAUAAGCGGAGGA